RNAcentral lists this ribosomal RNA (253 nucleotides) under uncultured bacterium. RNAcentral describes it as "partial 16S ribosomal RNA". It matches the Rfam family "Bacterial small subunit ribosomal RNA", at positions 524 to 776 of the family's 1533-position model. The record is from RNAcentral.
UACGUAGGGUGCGAGCGUUGUCCGGAAUUACUGGGCGUAAAGAGCUCGUAGGUGGUUUGUUGCGUCGACUGUGAAAACCGGGGGCUUAACCCUCGGCGGGCGGGCGAUACGGGCAGACUGGAGUACUGCAGGGGAGACUGGAAUUCCUGGUGUAGCGGUGGAAUGCGCAGAUAUCAGGAGGAACACCGGUGGCGAAGGCGGGUCUCUGGGCAGUAACUGACGCUGAGGAGCGAAAGCGUGGGGAGCGAACAGG